Molecule: long non-coding RNA, 1150 nt
Filed under: Olea europaea subsp. europaea
Lineage: Eukaryota; Viridiplantae; Streptophyta; Magnoliopsida; Lamiales; Oleaceae
Source: RNAcentral
CAACACUCACACAAUCAUUGGCCACUAAUUGCGGAAGAAAAUCAAUGCAUAUAAACCAAUCAAAUUAUCCAAACGAGUCUUUAUAUUAAAUUCAUGAAAUAUGGAAUUAAAAUAGCAAACAAUGAUUCAUCGAUCACCUAGUGAAUUGAAAACCUAGCCUAGAAUAUUCAUAAUUACAGAAAAAACGAAAUUAAUAAAUAGAAAGAAUAGCACCCGUAUGAAAAUUUCUUGAAAUCUUGAAUAAAGCCUUGAAAACCUACUUAAAUUCUUGUGAAAUCGGCUUCAUGUUCGUGUUCCUUGCCUCCAAAAGUUAUAUUUUUCUUCUCCCUGGACGUUCUACCCUAUUUUUGAUGAAUUUUGGCUUUUAUAUCAUGUCCUCACGGAGCCCCGAAAGAGUUUCAAUUAAAAAUGGAAGUUCAGAAUUUUCUUCGAAUUUUAAAGUCAUGCAGCCGCAUGGUUCAAGUGAUUUGCUUCACUAAAAUCCCUGCAUCCUCAUGUGCGGCCGCAUGGUUGUAGCUUUACAACCUUGCUGUUUUGAUCCCUGAACUCCGUUUUCUCUUUUUUUUAAUCUCUUUUCUUUCUUUCCUUUGUUCCAUUAUCAAAUAUUGACUCCUAAUUAAUAUUUGGGUCAAUCAAUUCCUUGAUCACUUGCUCGGCUCAUCUUUUGAUUAAUUGCAAUUUAGUCCUUCAUCUUUCACUUUUCUUCAAUUCAGUCCAAUGUUACUUCUUUCUUCCUUCGAUCAUCUUGUAUCGUCCUCAAUCUCAUACUUGGCAUAUUUUCAUUCAAGUUCUGCACUUUAGCUCAACUUUUCAAUAUUUGCACCUUUGGUCCCCGAACUAUCGCUUUGUUCCGUUUUGGUCCUUUUUCGGCUCUUUUCUUCUGAAUUUCAUCUUUUCCAUAGAAACACCUACAUUGCAUGAAUUUAACGAGAUUAAGUCACAAUUCAACUACUUUGUCCAUAUUUAAGUCAUGUUUGUGAGACAAAUAAGUGUGUAAAAACACAUUUAUCAGAUGCUACUAAUGAAAACUUUAACAUUUUAAAAUGGUGGAAGAUCAACAAUUCAAGGUUUGAAUUUUUAUCUAAAGUUGCAAGGAUGUUCUUGCCAUUCUUGUAUCUACGGUGGCUUCUGAGUCAGCAUUUAGUACCGG